This 497-nucleotide ribosomal RNA is filed under the name uncultured bacterium. RNAcentral describes it as "partial 16S ribosomal RNA". It matches the Rfam family "Bacterial small subunit ribosomal RNA", at positions 28 to 507 of the family's 1533-position model. The record is from RNAcentral.
GACGAACGCUGGCGGCGUGCCUAAUACAUGCAAGUUGAGCGCUGAAGGUUGGUUCUUGUACCAACUGGAUGAGCAGCGAACGGGUGAGUAACGCGUGGGGAAUCUGCCUUUGAGCGGGGGACAACAUGUGGAAACGAAUGCUAAUACCGCAUAAAAACUUUAAACACAAGUUUUAAGUUUGAAAGAUGCAAUUGCAUCACUCAAAGAUGAUCCCGCGUUGUAUUAGCUAGUUGGUGAGGUAAAGGCUCACCAAGGCGAUGAUACAUAGCCGACCUGAGAGGGUGAUCGGCCACAUUGAGACUGAGACACGGCCCAUACUCAUACGGGAGGCAGCAGUAGGGAAACUUCGGCAAUGGACGAAAGUCUGACCGAGCAACGCCGCGUGAGUGAAGAAGGUUGUCGGAUCGUAAAACUCUGUUGGUAGAGAAGAACGUUGGUGAGAGUGGAACGCUCAUCAAGUGACGGUAACUACCCAGAAAGCGACGGCUAACUACGUG